CUUAUUUUCUAGAUCUCCUUUGAACUCCUAGUUCAAGAUCAGAACAAGAUCAGUACUGUUCAGUUUCAAGAGAGAAAAAAAAAUGUACAAAUGUAGCCAGAUGCUAUUUACCUUUUUGUCUUUCCAUGAAAUGGACAACUCAAAACUGAACAUAUGUUUCUGCAUAUUUGUUGUAAUACAGCAAUGUGUACAGUUAUGUUUGGAGAGAUCUGUGAAGCGCAGUGCGGCAGAGGGCCCCCCCCCCCAAGCUCCUGAGUGUGAGUACCUGUGCUGCAGUGAUUUGAUUUGAGCAUAUGACUGCAGGAUAUUAUUUCAUAUCAUUCAAGUCAAUGGGGAUCCUGGAGAAAAUUCAAUUGCAGCAGGACCAGUCUUUGAAGAAUGUCACUCUCCGUGUAAGGUGACAGAAAACAGUGCCUAUGAAGGCAAGAUGCUGAGAAAUGUGGAAAAUAGAGGAGCACAACUGCGGGGAGUGGAGAGUGAUGUGGAGCAGGUUCAGCUGUGGCUGGCAAAGAGUCAUGGAGCCUGAUCAAGCAGUGUGUUCAACCCACACAUGUGUCCCAAGAACUUCAGGGGAAUAGCCUUUGUGAUUUUUUUUUCACAUAAUUAAGAUUGUAUUGGGUUCUUAAACCUCUGUAUAAUCCAAUAAAGAAAAAAAUUAAAAGUUCGUUAAAUCCCCUGCAUUAAAAGAAAUCCUGCAACCUAGCUGUUUAUCUCAAAAAGCUCUUUGUAGUGCCUGAUGCUCAUGUUUUGUAAGUGUUCCCUGAAGACCAUUAUUCAUCAGCACAGAGUUCAGCGCAGUCAAAUGAGAGACUCACAGUUUGGAACUGUAUUUCUGAAAAAUCUUGCGUGUCCAUUUCUUCCCUUGGCCAAUUAAUAUAACUGACCCAGACAUCUCUCUGUUCCUGCCUGUUCUUGCCUCCUUACCCUUAUCGUGCAUGACAUGAAACAGUAU
This is a long non-coding RNA of Pipra filicauda (Wire-tailed manakin), 952 nucleotides long. RefSeq lists it as uncharacterized. The transcript has 3 exons. The record is from RefSeq and is a predicted model, not a curated record. Lineage: Eukaryota; Metazoa; Chordata; Aves; Passeriformes; Pipridae.